GAUGAACGCUGGCGGCGUGCCUAAUACAUGCAAGUCGAGCGAAGCGGGGACGGGUGAGUAACACGUGGAUAACCUACUAUAAGACUGGGAUAACUUCGGGAAACCGGAGCUAAACCGGAUACUUAUACAUGGAUCUGCGCUGCAUUAGCUAGUUGGUAAGGUAACGGCUUACCAAGGCAACGAUGCAUAGCCGACCUGAGAGGAUGAUCGGCCACACUGGAACUGAGACACGGUCCAUGCUCCUACGGGAGGCAGCAUUAGGGAAUCUUCCGCAAUGGGCGAAAGCCUGACGAAGCCACGCCGCGUGAGUGAUGAAGGUCUUCGGGUCGUAAAACUCUGUUAUUAGGGAAGCGGUACCUAAUCAGAAAGCCACGGCUAACUACGUGCCAGCAGCCGCGGUAAUUC
Molecule: ribosomal RNA, 405 nt
Filed under: uncultured bacterium
Lineage: Bacteria
Description: partial 16S ribosomal RNA
Rfam family: Bacterial small subunit ribosomal RNA
Source: RNAcentral